AACGAACGCUGGCGGCAUGCCUAACACAUGCAAGUCGAACGAAGGCUUCGGCCUUAGUGGCGCACGGGUGCGUAACGCGUGGGAAUCUGCCCUUUGCUUCGGAAUAACAGUUAGAAAUGACUGCUAAUACCGGAUGAUGUCGCAAGACCAAAGAUUUAUCGGCAAAGGAUGAGCCCGCGUAGGAUUAGCUAGUUGGUGGGGUAAAGGCCUACCAAGGCGACGAUCCUUAGCUGGUCUGAGAGGAUGAUCAGCCACACUGGGACUGAGACACGGCCCAGACUCCUACGGGGGGCAGCAGUGGGGAAUAUUGGACAAUGGGCGAAAGCCUGAUCCAGCAAUGCCGCGUGAGUGAUGAAGGCCUUAGGGUUGUAAAGCUCUUUUACCCGGGAUGAUAAUGGCAGUACCGGGAGAAUAAGCUCCGGCUAACUCCGUG
RNAcentral lists this ribosomal RNA (433 nucleotides) under uncultured bacterium. Its description in RNAcentral is "partial 16S ribosomal RNA". It matches the Rfam family "Bacterial small subunit ribosomal RNA", at positions 29 to 507 of the family's 1533-position model. The record is from RNAcentral.